GGGGGCGUAACGGCUUCGACGCAUUAUUAGUGGCUUUAAGAGCAUGUCGAGCGUUGACUAAGUGCUCGCAAAACAAUUGGUCAAAACAGUAAGUGCAGCUCAACCUGCAUAAAAUGUAAGCGAGUCUUACAUUUUCUUGUCAGCUGAACGUGUCUAUCAGUUUGACUGACUCGUAUAAAUCAAGAUAGAACUCCCGAGUGAGAUUUCGCAACUUAGUAACUCGGAGUAGUAUCACCAAGAAGCCUCAUAUAAAAAUACUGUGUCUUUGAGGUUUUAUAUGAGUAAAAUCGAAGACUAAACAUGUAGUUCUUGCAGUUAUUAGUUGUGCGGACAUGGGUUCAAUUCCCAUCGCCUCCACCA
RNAcentral lists this transfer-messenger RNA (360 nucleotides) under bacterium. It matches the Rfam family "transfer-messenger RNA". From Rfam's summary of the family: Bacterial tmRNA, also known as 10Sa RNA or SsrA, is named for its dual tRNA and mRNA-like properties. Its role is to liberate the mRNA from a stalled ribosome. To accomplish this part of the tmRNA is used as a reading frame that ends in a translation stop signal. The record is from RNAcentral.